Callithrix jacchus (white-tufted-ear marmoset) is the source of this 217-nucleotide small nucleolar RNA. Its record names the gene U3. It matches the Rfam family "Small nucleolar RNA U3". Rfam says of the family: Small nucleolar RNAs (snoRNAs) are involved in the processing and modification of rRNA in the nucleolus. There are two main classes of snoRNAs: the box C/D class, and the box H/ACA class. The record is from Ensembl. NCBI's taxonomy places the organism in Eukaryota, Metazoa, Chordata, Mammalia, Primates, Cebidae.
AAGACUCUACUUUCAGGGCUCAUUUCUAUCGUUCAAUACCAGAGAAAUUUCUCCUAACGUGUAGAGGAGCCCUGGAAACCAAAAGGAGGAGGCAAGCAUUCUUUCCUGAGCACGCAGCCGGCUCAGAGCAUGGUGUGCUGCGGCUGCCACUUUCCAUUGACGGUCUUUCUUCUCUUCCUUCGGGAGAGUAAGAAGAAGAGGAUGCAGUCUUAGUGGU